Molecule: microRNA precursor, 93 nt
Filed under: Choloepus hoffmanni (Hoffmann's two-fingered sloth)
Lineage: Eukaryota; Metazoa; Chordata; Mammalia; Pilosa; Megalonychidae
Description: miRNA (ENSCHOG00000014939.1)
Source: RNAcentral
UGUGUGUGUUCGUGUGUGUGUAUUUCUGUAUAUAUAUAUAUAUAUAUAUAUACACACACACACACACACACACACACACACACACACACACAC